This 332-nucleotide ribosomal RNA is filed under the name uncultured bacterium. Its description in RNAcentral is "bacterial SSU rRNA". It matches the Rfam family "Bacterial small subunit ribosomal RNA", at positions 29 to 335 of the family's 1533-position model. The record is from RNAcentral.
AACGAACGCUGGCGGCGUGGAUAAGACAUGCAAGUCGAACGGGGUUACUUUUGGUAGCAAUACCGAGAGUGACUUAGUGGCGAACGGGUGCGUAACACGUGGGCAAUCUGCCUUAAAGUGGGGGAUAGCUCGGCGAAAGCCGAAUUAAUACCGCAUGUGAUCAGCUAAGACAUCUUAGCGACAUCAAAGUUGGUUGUAGCAAUACAGCUAACGUCUUUUGAGGAGCCCGCGGCCUAUCAGCUAGUUGGCGAGGUAACGGCUCACCAAGGCUUUGACGGGUAGCUGGUCUGAGAGGACGACCAGUCACACUGGAACUGAGACACGGUCCAAGA